Molecule: non-coding RNA, 1335 nt
Organism: Lolium perenne
Lineage: Eukaryota; Viridiplantae; Streptophyta; Magnoliopsida; Poales; Poaceae
Source: RefSeq, a predicted model, not a curated record
AAAUCCAUCUGGGUCGUUCGUCUGCCGCUGCACAGUCUUUCUGAUUCACCUUGUCCGUUCGAUCAGUUAAUAUUUUUCUCACUCGCGCCUUCUUUGGAUGGGUCACUGAUGACUGGACCCGAGCGCGUGUGCGGCCACCCGCGAGAGGCAGCGUGGGUGCUUGUUUGCGUACCUUUCAUCGUCGUCAUUUUCCUACGCGCGUGAGGUGAAAACCUAGAUCGAGAAAUGGCGUCCCCCACCUCCGCUCCCAUCCUCCAAUCAUUCACCUCCUUACUCCUCCCCCAACCCGCGCCGCCUCCUCUCCUCCUCCCAAGCAGGACGCAGCCGACGUGAGCAAGGAGGGAACUCGGGCGCCGCCGGAGAGCGGCCGCGGGGUGCUGCUGCGUGGAGCGCCAGUCACCGCCUCUCCUCCAUGCCAAGCAGGAUGCAACCGCAUCGGGCGGGAGGCGAUGGUCACCGCCGGUCGCGGGCGUCGCCGUGCGAAGAGCAGGUGGGGCCGCAUCAGCCGUCGCCUUGGGUCCUGCCGUUCCUCCCCAAUCGCCCGCCUCGACGUGUAGAGGGGUCGAAGCUGUGGGGGACGCAACAUUGGCGGCGGGCUUUCGCUGGAGGAGCGCGUCCUGGAGGAGGGUGGCGGCGUUCCAGCGAGAGGCCCUGGGUUGGGAGGAGAGGACGCGGGAGGAGGACGAGAAGGGGUGAGGGCGCUCGACCCCGCCGCCCAGCAACAACGACGGCCAACAUCUACAGCGACGCCGCUAGGGUUGGGCGACACCUCCAUCGGAGAUCCCUAUCGAAGCUUGCACAGGCUCCGUGUAGCCGCCGCCAGCGCCUCCUCGUUGCUGUGGGCAGUGCCAUCAAGGACAUCUUCCCCAAGCCUGGUCUCCACCAGCAGCGCCCCCUGGCGCUCGCACGGGAACCGGCUGGCACGUCCGUCUUCACCAGGCCAAGAAAGAUUAGGGUUUGGGUGUCCAGGAGAUUCACCGACAGCAGCACCAGCCAUCAUUGUUUUUUAUGGACUCCAUGGCUGUUGUAGGAAUGGAGCAAAAGGGUGAUUUUUUUGGAGGGUCUGAUCGUUGUUGUUCUGCUUGAUUACCACAACAAUAGGGUUGCUCCCUCCUGCAAAGUAUCGACCACAUCUAUGCCUCCCUCCACAUCAUCUCCUCUAUUUAUAUCUACAGAUUUUUUUUGUGCCAUAUAAUAAAAGGUGAAGAGCGGCGGUAGGGAACCACGCCUACGAGCAUGCUCAUGGUGGUACCUAGAUCCCAGCAAUGCAUGGUUACGGAUGUCCUCAGCCAGAGCUAGGCUUCCUUGUCGAUGACUUGCGAUCUACAGCAUCUG